MicroRNA precursor from Oryza sativa Indica Group (long-grained rice), 208 nucleotides. It matches the Rfam family "MIR812 microRNA precursor family". The record is from Rfam. Lineage: Eukaryota; Viridiplantae; Streptophyta; Magnoliopsida; Poales; Poaceae.
AAAAAAAACAAACCCUGGUUUCCGUAUCCAACGUCUGACCGUCCGUCUUAUUUAAAAAAAUUAUGAAAAAAAUUAAAAAGAUAAAUCAUGUAUAAAAUAUUAAUCAUGUUUUAUCAUCUAACAACAAUAAAAAUAUUAAUUAUAAAAAAAAUUUCAUAUAAGACGGACAGUCAAACGUUGGCAAAAAAAAACUGCGGUUUGUCUUUUU